GUCAUUUAAUUAUUUCGGGAAUUAAAUCUUUUAUUUUUUAAACUAAAUAUAUUGAUCAACUAACGGUCAACAUAACUUCCAUCCAAAAUAGGGGCAAACGGUUCAUUCAGUUCAAAAAAGGAGGGGCAAAAACGAAAACCCUAAAAAGAAGGGGUAAAAUCAAUAUUAGAUUUGAAAAUCAGGGCAGGAAUGAAAUUGUCUCUUUAUUCAUCUAUAGUCCGCUAUUCACCAUUUCAGUCAUUCAAACAGAGAUGUUAUUACACCUGAAGAUUUCAGUUUUGAUCUGGAUGGAUGUCUCUGGGGGGGAUUUUACUUUGUAUGACAGAUGCAGUUAGCAACUCUUGACAUGUUUAGCACUGCAGGCCACUUCUCCUACACUGCAAUCCAAGUUUGAACUUUCGAGUACAUCUCAGACUUUUGUAGGGUCGCGUAAUAAUCGUCAAGUGAUAUGUGCAUCUUGGACUUUUACAAGGUCAUCAGCUGGCUGCCUACUCAGCAAUUAUCUGGUUAUCAUCGAUGGGUUCUAUAACAUAUUUUAAAGUUUUAUAUUGUUAGAAAAUAUAAAUUUGUAAAGUGUCAUUUCUUUUUAUGACUUUGUUGCAUCUUCGUGUACAGUGUAAGAAAAACUAAAUUUUAAA
Oryza brachyantha (malo sina) is the source of this 638-nucleotide long non-coding RNA. RefSeq lists it as uncharacterized. The transcript has 4 exons. Lineage: Eukaryota; Viridiplantae; Streptophyta; Magnoliopsida; Poales; Poaceae. The record is from RefSeq and is a predicted model, not a curated record.